Molecule: long non-coding RNA, 225 nt
Filed under: Elaeis guineensis (African oil palm)
Lineage: Eukaryota; Viridiplantae; Streptophyta; Magnoliopsida; Arecales; Arecaceae
Description: long non-coding RNA (EGUI_LNC080363)
Source: RNAcentral
UGGGCGUUGCAGGGCCUCUCCCCCCAUCCGGUCUAAGGAGAACCGGGCCUUCGACUUUGCUCAUGUUAGGGCGAGGUUCUCCUCCUGUCCCUAACAGGACUGUGGGGGCACAUAUGGGCAUUACAGGGCCUCUCCCCCAUCCGGUCUAAGGAGAAUCGGGCCUUCGACUUUGCUCAUGUUAGGACGAGGUUCUCCUCCUGUCCCUAACAGGGCUGUGGGGGCACA